Molecule: long non-coding RNA, 1416 nt
Filed under: Marmota monax (woodchuck)
Lineage: Eukaryota; Metazoa; Chordata; Mammalia; Rodentia; Sciuridae
Source: RNAcentral
UUUGAAAAUAUGAAUGACAGGGAAAACAGCUGUCCAUGAUCUUCUUGAGGAGCCAAUUAAGGAAAUUACCUGUUUAUAAGUCCCUAGAUGUUUCUGCCACUACAAGCAAGAUUGCACCCUGUUGUCAUCUUAUGCACCAUGCUAAGACUUAUGUCCUUAAAAGAGCUGUUAUUUCUGUGUCCAGGUUCACAGUUUUGUUCUUUUGCAUAGUGAGCAGAAGUUCGGAUAACUCGACUUAGGGCAGGAAUUAAUCUUCCUUCUCCUGUGGUUGGGAAGGGGAAAGGGAGAAGAAGGAUGAAUAAAUAUGUCAGUUUUAAAAUAAGUUGCCAGUGGUCUAGCAGCAAAGCAUGAAGUGGACUCCAUUUUGUGAAAGGGACCCCUGUUACAGUCACACUUAAUAAAUGGUCACUUCUUUCAUCACCAAAAACCCAUUUCUGAUGUUGAUUAUAUUAAUUAGCAAAGCAUUGUUCAUUGUUUGAGCUAUGCCUAAGACCAGCCCUGUGGAGAAUGAGCUACCUGAUGAACAUAUUAGCCCCCCACUCGUGGAUUGUGAAUUCUUCACUGCCAUGUUAGCAGACCACCCCAGGCUGGCAUUCUUGAUUUGAAGACUUAUGAGGACUAAAUUAUGACUUAAAUAACAUAAUAAUGCUCAAGUAGAUAUAGUAAAUUGAAAAUUUUACAGUAUUUACUUAGGACUUGUUAAAAAGAAUUAUAGAAUAUUUAACAUAAGGCUUGCCUACAGUAAUAUCUCAGUAAAUAGCAGAUUUUAUUUACUAUUUUGUUUAUAAGCAGUGUCAGAUUUAUUGUAUUUUGGGCUGGGGUUGUAGCUCAGUGGUAGAGCACUUGCCUAGCAAAUCCAUUUUGUUCUAUCUGUUAAUAUAACAUUCACUAAAAUUACACCUUUCUCUGCUACACAGAUUCUCACCAUGGUUAACACUUAGGUUUCUAGAGCCUUGCAAAUGUGCUUUCCCCAGCUAAUCCACACAAUACCCACCCCACACCCUUUUUUUGUUGUUGUUGUUAUUUUUUGUUUGUUUCUUAUUGCUAAUAACCAGUAGUUCAGUAGGCUGAGGCAGUUAGGGGUGCUAACUCUGAGAUGGCUGGCUGCGGAACUCAUUCUUGAUUGCUCUAUGAUAUGUUCUUAUUAUAUAGGACUGAUGGGACAACUUGAUUAAACAUCAUUUCUUUUUAAAAGGGCAUCCUUGAGGGCUGUGAUUGUGACUCAGCGGUAGAGCACUCGCCUAGCAUGUGUGAGGCCCUGGAUUCGAUCCUUAGCGCCACAUAAAAAUAAAUAAAAAUACAGGCAUUGUGUCCAUCUACAACAACAACAAAAAAAAUUUUUUUUAAUUUUUUUUUUUUUUACCUUUUAAAAAAGAGUCAGAAUAUCUGCAGGUCUUUUUGUUAUCUGAAGCUCAG